ACUAACUGGAGGACCGAACCGACUAAUGUUGAAAAAUUAGCGGAUGACCUGUGGCUGGGGGUGAAAGGCCAAUCAAACCGGGAGAUAGCUGGUUCUCCCCGAAAGCUAUUUAGGUAGCGCCUCGUGAAUUCAUCUCCGGGGGUAGAGCACUGUUUCGGCUAGGGGGCCAUCCCGGCUUACCAACCCGAUGCAAACUGCGAAUACCGGAGAAUGUUAUCACGGGAGACACACGGCGGGUGCUAACGUCCGUCGUGAAGAGGGAAACAACCCAGACCGCCAGCUAAGGUCCCAAAGUCAUGGUUAAGUGGGAAACGAUGUGGGAAGGCCCAGACAGCCAGGAUGUUGGCUUAGAAGCAGCCAUCAUUUAAAGAAAGCGUAAUAGCUCACUGGUCGAGUCGGCCUGCGCGGAAGAUGUAACGGGGCUAAACCAUGCACCGAAGCUGCGGCAGCGACACUGUGUGUUGUUGGGUAGGGGAGCGUUCUGUAAGCCUGUGAAGGUGUGUCGUGAGGC
This 511-nucleotide ribosomal RNA is filed under the name Salmonella enterica. Its description in RNAcentral is "partial 23S ribosomal RNA". It matches the Rfam family "Bacterial large subunit ribosomal RNA", at positions 761 to 1269 of the family's 2925-position model. The record is from RNAcentral. RNAcentral also lists the same sequence under 1 other name. Lineage: Bacteria; Pseudomonadati; Pseudomonadota; Gammaproteobacteria; Enterobacterales; Enterobacteriaceae.